This 465-nucleotide ribosomal RNA is filed under the name uncultured bacterium. RNAcentral's name for it is "partial 16S ribosomal RNA". It matches the Rfam family "Bacterial small subunit ribosomal RNA", at positions 338 to 795 of the family's 1533-position model. The record is from RNAcentral.
CCUACGGGAGGCAGCAGUGGGGAAUAUUGCGCAAUGGGCGAAAGCCUGACGCAGCGACGCCGCGUGAGGGAUGAAGGUCUUCGGAUCGUAAACCUCUGUCAGCAGGGAAGAACGGUCACUGUGCUAAUCAGCAGUGAAUUUACGGUACGUGUAAAGGAAGCACCGGCUAACUCCGUGCCAGCAGCCGCGGUAAUACGGAGGGUGCGGGCGUGAAUCGGAUUGACUGGGCGUAAAGCGCUCGUAGGCGGUAUGUCAAGUCAAGGGUGAAAUCCCCGCGCUCAACGUGGGAACUGCCUUUGAAACUGGCAAACUGGAGUAUGUGAGAGGAUGGUGGAAUUCCAGGUGUAGGAGUGAAAUCCUUAGAUAUCUGGAAGAACAUCAGUGGCGAAGGCGACUAUCUGGCACAUAACUGACGCUGAGGAGCGAAAGCGUGGGUAGCAAACAGGAUUAGAUACCCCAGUAGUC